ACAACCUCUCUGCGCUGAUUGGGUGAUUCCUUUCUCACGAGCUUCGUGGCCACAAAAGCUGCCGCCACAAACUCUGACUCCGGCUAGAUCCAGUGCUCUUCUGCGCCACCGCUCACCAUCCCAUUCCCCCUUACUGCUUUUCUCUGUUCUUGUCCCGCGGCGAGUUCCUCCGUGCUGCCGCUCAACCUCCCGGCUCCGCCUUACUGCUCUCCUCCGAUCCCCAGCCGCCGCGACGUCCUCCGCUCCCCUGCUCACCCGCUCAUGGGCUCGGGAACCCCUCACUGCUAUCCUCUGAUCCAUUGCCGCGGCGACGUCAUCCACGCCCCUGCACGCGCCCCCGCAGGAACCCUAGCCGCCAUGGUUUGCUAGCGCGGCUCCCACGUCUCCUCUCGUUUGUCUGCCCACUACCCCGCGUGCGGCUGCCGGCUCGGGCUCGGCCGUGCUGUUCCACAUCGAGUCCUUGACCGUCCUGUUCCACAUCCUCGACUACCUCGACCGAUGGCAGACGGUUCAGUUUUCAGAUGUUCAAAUUCCAAUCUGUUUAUCUACAGGCUGCAGAGACAACAACGCUUCUGUGGUCACAGGCUCAAAAUUACCGCCUGUUCUGAAGUUGACUACGUGCUUCAGCCAACAUGUGUUUGUUUGUUCUUUCUCUUAACAGAUUGCCAAGAUAAAUUCAAGAUGCAUGGAUGUUGAUUGCAAGGUCAAGAAUGGCUGUUUUACCAGAUAAUUAGAAUGCCGUUUUCAAGUGUAAUGUUUCAAACAAUAUAGUUGAUUGAAUGGUCAAGAAUUUGGCUAGUACUAGAUGGUUUCACAUAUGUAAUAUUUGUAUCGUGUUCUUUGUAAUGCAAUACAUUCUUUUUAAUAUAUUAUGAGGAUUCCUGCUUA
Triticum aestivum (bread wheat) is the source of this 888-nucleotide long non-coding RNA. RefSeq lists it as uncharacterized. The record is from RefSeq and is a predicted model, not a curated record. NCBI's taxonomy places the organism in Eukaryota, Viridiplantae, Streptophyta, Magnoliopsida, Poales, Poaceae. The transcript has 4 exons.